GACGAACGCUGGCGGCGUGCCUAACACAUGCAAGUCGAACGGAAAGGCCCUGCCUUUGUGGGGUGCUCGAGUGGCGAACGGGUGAGUAACACGUGAGUAACCUGCCCUUGACUUUGGGAUAACCUCAGGAAACUGGGGCUAAUACCGGAUAGGAGCACCUGCUGCAUGGUGGGGGCUGGAAAGUUUCGGCGGUUGGGGAUGGACUCGCGGCUUAUCCGCUUGUUGGUGGGGAAGUGGCUCACGAAGGCCUUGGCGGGUCGCCGGCCUGAGAGGGUGACCGGGCACAAUGGGACUGAGAUACGGCCCAGUCUCCUACGGGAGGCAGCAGUGGGGAGUAUUGCACAGUGAGCGGGAGCCUGAUGCAGCAGCGCCGCGGGCGGAAUGACGGCCUUCGGGUUAUGAACCGCUUUCGCCUGUGACGGAGCGUGGGUGACGGUAAUGGAUAAAGAAGCACCGGCUAACUACGUG
This 468-nucleotide ribosomal RNA is filed under the name uncultured bacterium. Its description in RNAcentral is "partial 16S ribosomal RNA". It matches the Rfam family "Bacterial small subunit ribosomal RNA", at positions 28 to 507 of the family's 1533-position model. The record is from RNAcentral.